UAUUCGGAACCGCCCCAACCAGGUAAUGUCCUUCUCCCUUCUUUAAAGCUUCUGUUGCAACCAAAUGGGCAUACAUAUUUUCUGUUAUAGGAAUAUGACAAAAGCCAAUACUGUUAAAAAUGACUUUUAUUUCUUCGAUAUCUUUUAUGAUAGCUCCGAUAGUCAAUUUGUCUUGUUCUGAGCUUUGACACUUUUUGAUAAUCGUUUUCGAAUCUCCUAUUAUUUGUAAGUCUUUGAGCCCCAUAGACCUUCCUAACUCUAAGGCUUGUAACCCUGCAUGUGCCUCUACCGCGAAUGGAGUUGCUAUAUUGGUGUGGAUUACUGAUUUUGAAGCCAAAAUCUCCCUUCCCUCACCUCGAACAAUCAAACCUGAAGCAGAUCUUGCUUGUUGCUGAUCGAAAGCUGCAUCAAAGAAGACUAACACACUCGUUAUUCUUUCUUUAGUUCUCGGACCACCAUUUCCUGCCAAAUUACCCAAAGCCCACAACAGAAAAGUCGGCACUGUUCAUUUGACCCUUGACUAAAAACCCAUGACAUCCACGAAAGAUAUGAUUGCAAUCCUCCUCUUCUUUGUUGCAUCGAGGACACUGGGCAUCAGCAACUAUUCGUUUAAUCUUCAGAUUAGCAAAAGUAGGAAUGUAAUUCCAAGAAAUUCCCUAUUUUGUAAUUUUGACUUUCGAGGGGAUUUGUAAAUUCCAUAGUUUUUUGUAAAAGGCUUUAGUUUCGGUUUGUAAAUUAAUAGGAUUUUGAGUACCCUCCUGUAAUAGUUUGUAGGCGUUUCUAACUGAAAAAUUACCAGAUGGUUCUCCUCUCUAGACUUGGAAGUCUUCAUUUACUGACGUUGCCAAAGGAAUCUGCAAAAUCUUUUUAGCAACUUCCGCAUUGAAGAGGUCCUUCCAAACAGAAAUACGAUCCCCCUUACCAACCCUCCAGCAAAGUCCUCCUUCCAGAAUGCCUUUUGCCGACUAGAUAAUCUUUCAGGUAAGCGAAGGCAAAUUCCCUAAUUGAGUAGUUAGAAAACACGCAUUCAGAUAAUAUUUAGCUUUCAAUACUCGAGCUAGCAAAGAAUCUGGAAAAUUAAUAAGACGCCAGCCCUGUUUAGCUAAUAAUGCAAUAUUAAAUUUAUCAAGUUUUCUAAAACCAAGACCACCUGCUUCUUUCGAGACACACACAUCCUUCCACGCACACCAAUGAAUCCCCUUCUUCCACCGAUUUCCCCCCACCAGAAUUUAGCUAUUAUACCUUCCAACUCGUUACAUAAAGACU
Long non-coding RNA from Gossypium raimondii (Peruvian cotton), 1266 nucleotides. RefSeq lists it as uncharacterized. NCBI's taxonomy places the organism in Eukaryota, Viridiplantae, Streptophyta, Magnoliopsida, Malvales, Malvaceae. The record is from RefSeq and is a predicted model, not a curated record. The transcript is spliced from 4 exons.